AGAGUUUGAUCCUGGCUCAGGAUGAACGCUGGCGGCGUGCCUAAUACAUGCAAGUCGAGCGAACGGACGAGAAGCUUGCUUCUCUGAUGUUAGCGGCGGACGGGUGAGUAACACGUGGAUAACCUACCUAUAAGACUGGGAUAACUUCGGGAAACCGGAGCUAAUACCGGAUAAUAUUUUGAACCGCAUGGUUCAAAAGUGAAAGACGGUCUUGCUGUCACUUAUAGAUGGAUCCGCGCUGCAUUAGCUAGUUGGUAAGGUAACGGCUUACCAAGGCAACGAUGCAUAGCCGACCUGAGAGGGUGAUCGGCCACACUGGAACUGAGACACGGUCCAGACUCCUACGGGAGGCAGCAGUAGGGAAUCUUCCGCAAUGGGCGAAAGCCUGACGGAGCAACGCCGCGUGAGUGAUGAAGGUCUUCGGAUCGUAAAACUCUGUUAUUAGGGAAGAACAUAUGUGUAAGUAACUGUGCACAUCUGACGGUACCUAAUCAGAA
RNAcentral lists this ribosomal RNA (497 nucleotides) under Staphylococcus sp. AKB-2008-4337D. RNAcentral's name for it is "bacterial SSU rRNA". It matches the Rfam family "Bacterial small subunit ribosomal RNA", at positions 8 to 488 of the family's 1533-position model. The record is from RNAcentral. Lineage: Bacteria; Bacillati; Bacillota; Bacilli; Caryophanales; Staphylococcaceae.